GGGAUAUGGCGAAAUUGGUAGACGCUACGGACUU
Molecule: transfer RNA, 34 nt
Filed under: Hesperaloe funifera
Lineage: Eukaryota; Viridiplantae; Streptophyta; Magnoliopsida; Asparagales; Asparagaceae
Also listed under: 31 other names
Description: partial tRNA-Leu
Source: RNAcentral